UGGCCGGAAUGUUCCUUGCUGCUGAUGCAUUGGCCUCAUCUGGAGGUCCUCUUUGACACCUACCCUACUCUCUCCCUCCACUCACACUCUUAGAACUGUGCUCAGGGGCAGCGCUACAACUUCAAACACUGGUCUUCACAGGGCUUGAGUGAUUCUUUCAAGAACAGAACGCUGUGUGGAGGUUGUUGUUACUGAAACCUUUACCAUAUUUCAUUGCAUCUAAGACACAUUUUUUUGUGUGUGUGAUUUAACAUCUCUAAGGUUGGGUUAUGUUUCUUCAUCAUUGUCAGGUUAGAGUUUAAUUAGCAGCACUUUUUUUUUCCUUAGUGUCACACACAGUAAUGGUGAUGUAUCUCACAAUUGAGAUGGUCUUAGAUCUGAUGGAAUAUGGAAUCGUGUACCUGUUACAAGCCAGGCUUUUGUCUGGGUUCUACAGACAGUGGAACUCAAGACAGUACCAUCCUCUAGUGGUGUUCACAGCCCACCACAGUGGAGUCAGAAUAUAUUCUGUGGACACUACAGAUGCAGACUAAAUCACAUGCAAAGAGAAUCUGUCAGCCCUAACAAUAAGAAUGGCUCUUGUAUGAUGAGCAGGUGAGACCAGGUAAUCACCGAAGAAGGAGAGUGGUGUGUUCAUUGAAGUCUACUCAUGGAGGAAAGAAGGUAGGCAGAAAAUCAACAGGUUUUCAAAAAUAUAUGCAAAACAGGCUUUGGGGAGAAUGCCAACCCUCAGUUAACCUAAGUCCCAGUCUUGGGUACAGGUAUGCCGGUCAACUCAUGUCCCACAAAAAUGGAAACUGGGCAGAGGCUGGAAAACAGCAGCCCCAAGAUACAGGUUCCUGGUUCAUAAGAGGCAGGAGGAAAGCUGACACUAGCCCUUCCUGAAAAGAGAAAAUGAGGGUAUCCAAUAGACAGCACGUGGUAUCUGCGAUGAAUGUGGUGAUUCUGGCCAGGUACAAAAGUCUACUGUGUCAUGUGGGAGACCUUAUUAUGAAAAGGAUAUUGUGCCACUGGCGAG
Molecule: long non-coding RNA, 1018 nt
Filed under: Rhinopithecus bieti (black snub-nosed monkey)
Lineage: Eukaryota; Metazoa; Chordata; Mammalia; Primates; Cercopithecidae
Description: lncRNA (ENSRBIG00000045898.1)
Source: RNAcentral